This is a non-coding RNA of Odocoileus virginianus texanus, 73 nucleotides long. NCBI's taxonomy places the organism in Eukaryota, Metazoa, Chordata, Mammalia, Artiodactyla, Cervidae. The record is from the annotation of a RefSeq genome assembly.
UCCCUGAUGGUCCAGUGGUUAGGAUUCUGCACUUCCACCACAGCGGGUACAGGUUCGAUCCCUGGUCAGGGAA